RNAcentral lists this unclassified non-coding RNA (418 nucleotides) under Hevea brasiliensis (rubber tree). The record is from RNAcentral. Lineage: Eukaryota; Viridiplantae; Streptophyta; Magnoliopsida; Malpighiales; Euphorbiaceae.
AAUAAUAAUAAUAAUAAUAAUUGUGAACACGAUAAAAAAUGGAGUUGGAAAAUAAUUUUUUGUAUUUUUUUCAUUAGCAUUAACCCUAAAUUCAUGCUAAAUCAACUAAAGAAAGAGUAUCAGGGUGGGUGCCAUAAUUUAGCUUCAAUUCUGUACGUGGGUGUCCAUGUGGAGGUGGACCACCCUUGAGCAGUUGCAAUUUGUGCAAGCACAAAAUUGAAGUGAUGGUGAUCUUCUCCAUAAUUGUGGCUUUGAUGGAGAGCAGUAUUCAUGCUAUUUAGAAUAUAUUUGGUAGAAAGUUAAAAAAUUAAGUGCUAAAUGUUAUUCUUGUAAGUUUGAACCUUUAAAAUAGGUAAUUAUUAACCUAAUCCCUUAAGGUUAACUUUUCAAAAGGAUAUAAAUAUUAAUGAGGUGAAAA